UCCUCUGUAGUUCAGUCGGUAGAACGGCAGACUGUUAAUCCGUAUGUCACUGGUUCGAGUCCAGUCAGAGGAGCCA
This 76-nucleotide transfer RNA is filed under the name Escherichia coli. Its description in RNAcentral is "tRNA-Asn". It matches the Rfam family "tRNA". Rfam says of the family: Transfer RNA (tRNA) molecules are approximately 80 nucleotides in length. The record is from RNAcentral. Lineage: Bacteria; Pseudomonadati; Pseudomonadota; Gammaproteobacteria; Enterobacterales; Enterobacteriaceae. RNAcentral also lists the same sequence under 3 other names.